AUGAUCGCGGAGGCCCUUGCAGCUCGGGAUGGAGUAAUCUUCGCAAAUCUCAGAGGGUUCACGCAUGUGGUGUUGGAGACCGACAGCCUGGAGGUGGUUAACCUCUGGAGCACUCGCCUCAACAGUCGUUCAGUUGUGGCAUCAAUUCUUUUAGAAAUUGAAGAGCUUUCUGCUAGUUUUCAUUCUUUUGUAAUCCAACAUGUAAGUAGAUAUGCCAAUGGUCCAGCUCAUCUUUGUGCAAAACGUGCUUGCACGGUGACUGGCACCGAAAGCUGGCUUACGGAGACUCUCAGCAUCUUGAUCAGCAGCCUUAUAGCUGAUUGUUCAAAGAACACUUUUGUUUAA
RNAcentral lists this ribosomal RNA (345 nucleotides) under Triticum aestivum (bread wheat). RNAcentral describes it as "partial small subunit ribosomal RNA". Lineage: Eukaryota; Viridiplantae; Streptophyta; Magnoliopsida; Poales; Poaceae. The record is from RNAcentral.